AUCCUCUUGCAGCUGGAGUUCUGCAGGAAAAGGGGAUUUGCCAGCCCUAGAUCCACCACGGUUGCUUGGCAGUCAGGAAAACCUGGUAUUCCAGCAGAUGGAGUCUGAGCAGGGUGAUGUGUUUGGCUGAUGUGGGGAUGGUGAUUCCUGUCUUCAGGAAUGCCAGGGAAAACCCAGACAGACAAUCUUGGAAGCCAGACAAGAAAAGAGGAAGCAAAAAAACCCUGUAAUCCGCAGAAAAUUCAGAAGAGUUUCAGUUCUCAGACAGCAGCAAAGAGGCAUCAUCCUUAUUUUGUGGGGGAAUUUUGAGCUUGUCUUCUUGCAACUCUACUCUCAGGCUGAGAAAUCCUGGAUAACAUCAGAUAAUACUCCCAGGGCCGCUUGCCAGGAAAACAGCGAUCCCAAAAGGUAACUCCGACCUGAUUAAUGGGUAUUCAUCUCCCCAAAGGCACAAUGGCAGCUGGAGAACGACAUUAACCUCCUCAGAUAACAUCGGGGUGAGGCACCACAGAGGCUCCGUGCCUCAUUCACACCCUGCUGCACAGGUGACCCCUGCAGUUUUCAUCCUAAACAGCUUGGAAAAAAUUGAACUGAACAAAACCCCCGUGCUCUGAGAAACGAGAGAAGGAAGAGCUUGUAAAAUCACACAGUGACAUGCUCUGAGGGAAAAGAGUCAAAGGCAAACCUGCUAAAAAAAAAAAAAAAAAGGGGGAUCUCAGGGUAGUCAUAAAAAAAAGAAUUUCCAUGUCAUUUUUUCCUCAGCAGAAAGCUGAGUUGUCACUUCCCAAUCCCAUGGGGAAUGGCAGCUGGGUUAUUGGCAGGCAGCUCCCUUCCUCCCCGUGCUCACCGCUGCUCCCGGCUGUGGUCACACUGGAGUCACUCCGUGGUUUCCUCUCGGAGCAGAAAUGGCUUUCCAUGCAAAACAAACGCCUUGACACGAAGGGCGAUUUGGGGCAGGGUGGUUUGGAAUGCAAACACGGAGUCCGGGGGGAAUCUCAGCAGGGCUGAGAUCAGCUGUGUUAUGACAGAAAGCUGAAGUUUGCCUGACCUUGUUUUCUGCGGGGAAGGAGCAAGAGGGACACAAAUCAAACUGCUUUCCCCCCGCCCUCCUCUCUGAUCCAGCCCAAAAUUAUUUAUCUCCAUUGCAAAUUCUUCAUCCAGCUCAGCCACACUCUAAGGUUUUUCUCCACCCAAUUUUUUUGGGAAUGGGGGUCCAAUAACUCAGCCAUUCCCUGACCUCAUUACCCUGAGGGAAGGGAUAACUUUUGUUGGGAGCAGCUCCAUCCAGCCACAGGCAGGGUGCGUGGGCACAGCUUCUCUACGCCCCAGCUUGCUCCUGGUGCCAGUGAGGGUCUCCAGGAAGGCACGGAGGAAAACUUGGAACAUGCGGAGGAAUUUUCAGGAUGUGGCUGAUCCGGCAGGAGCAGACGGCAGGUGGCACCCCUGGAUUGUCACAGGGCUGGGCACUGCCUGCAGCUGGGCUCCGUCUUCCUCUCCUUCCUCCCUGAGGAG
Molecule: long non-coding RNA, 1512 nt
Organism: Catharus ustulatus (Swainson's thrush)
Lineage: Eukaryota; Metazoa; Chordata; Aves; Passeriformes; Turdidae
Exons: 3
Source: RefSeq, a predicted model, not a curated record